GCCGGACCGUGUUGUCAGUCUAUCAUGCAGUCGAGCGAACAGACAAGGAGCUUGCUCCUUUGACGUUAGCGGCGGACGGGUGAGUAACACGUGGGUAACCUACCUAUAAGACUGGGAUAACUUCGGGAAACCGGAGCUAAUACCGGAUAAUAUUUCGAACCGCAUGGUUCGAUAGUGAAAGAUGGUUUUGCUAUCACUUAUAGAUGGACCCGCGCCGUAUUAGCUAGUUGGUAAGGUAACGGCUUACCAAGGCGACGAUACGUAGCCGACCUGAGAGGGUGAUCGGCCACACUGGAACUGAGACACGGUCCAGACUCCUACGGGAGGCAGCAGUAGGGAAUCUUCCGCAAUGGGCGAAAGCCUGACGGAGCAACGCCGCGUGAGUGAUGAAGGUCUUCGGAUCGUAAAACUCUGUUAUUAGGGAAGAACAUACGUGUAAGUAACUAUGCACGUCUUGACGGUACCUAAUCAGAAAGCCACGGCUAACUACGUGCCAGCAGCCGCGGUAAUACGUAGGUGGCAAGCGUUAUCCGGAAUUAUUGGGCGUAAAGCGCGCGUAGGCGGUUUUUUAAGUCUGAUGUGAAAGCCCACGGCUCAACCGUGGAGGGUCAUUGGAAACUGGAAAACUUGAGUGCAGAAGAGGAAAGUGGAAUUCCAUGUGUAGCGGUGAAAUGCGCAGAGAUAUGGAGGAACACCAGUGGCGAAGGCGACUUUCUGGUCUGUAACUGACGCUGAUGUGCGAAAGCGUGGGGAUCAAACAGGAUUAGAUACCCUGGUAGUCCACGCCGUAAACGAUGAGUGCUAAGUGUUAGGGGGUUUCCGCCCCUUAGUGCUGCAGCUAACGCAUUAAGCACUCCGCCUGGGGAGUACGACCGCAAGGUUGAAACUCAAGGAAUUGACGGGGACCCGCACAAGCGGUGAGCAUGGGGUUUAAUUCGAAGCAACGCGAAGACCUUACCAAUCUUGACAUCCUUUGACAACUCUAGAGAUAGAGGCCUUCCCCUUCGGGGGACAAGUGGACAGUGUGCAUGCUGUCGUCAGCUCGUGUCGUGAAAUUGUGGUAGUCCCGCACCGACGCACCCUUAAGCUUAGUGCAUCAUAGUUGGGCACUCUAAGUUGACUGCGUGACAAAACGAGAAAGGUGAUGACUCAUCUCAUUGCCUUAGAUUGGCUACACAGGUUCAAUGCAAUUCAGAUGUCACGGAUCACCCGAG
Molecule: ribosomal RNA, 1214 nt
Filed under: Staphylococcus haemolyticus
Lineage: Bacteria; Bacillati; Bacillota; Bacilli; Caryophanales; Staphylococcaceae
Description: bacterial SSU rRNA
Rfam family: Bacterial small subunit ribosomal RNA
Source: RNAcentral